Onychostoma macrolepis is the source of this 3251-nucleotide long non-coding RNA. RefSeq lists it as uncharacterized. NCBI's taxonomy places the organism in Eukaryota, Metazoa, Chordata, Actinopteri, Cypriniformes, Cyprinidae. The record is from RefSeq and is a predicted model, not a curated record. The transcript has 6 exons.
CCUGACUUCAAAUGUUCCCCAGUUCAUAAACAACGCUGCUGUUGUUCAAAGGCGAGCAUCUGUUGGAGUCGACCAGACCACAAACUCCAACGCAUUCCUGCAACACACUAACUGCGACGUGAAACGGAACCGCAGACCUCCCUGUCUUGCUCUGAGGUGGAGGGACGUGUGGAGGGACGUGUGGCGCGCCAGUUCCAGCAAUCACAACAAGAGAGCUGCUGCCGCUGCCGCUGCCGCCCGGUUGCGCGGAGAUUGGCUCUUGUUUACCCGGGACGUUUCCCCGGGAGACAGCCGGGCGAUACUGGGAUACCCUCUCAAAGCUUUUGUUAAUUCACGAGGAGGCGAGACAUCCGCUGCAACAAUGCAGCAAAUUAGUAUUACAAAAGCCAAAGACUGACAAGCUGGUGACAUAACAGUGCACGGGGCGGUAUACUCCAUAUUUUGCUUGCCAACUUACAAGCGGCAGCAGCAGGUUAAUCACCCAAAUGUAAAUUAAAGAGAGAGAGAGGAAAGUACAAAAAGAGCAAUUUUAAGCCUAUAAUUUUAAUUUUGAGUCCAUAAUUAAAUGUUUAACAGUUUCUCGCUGAAAUAUUUCUGCCUUUCUCUUUCAGGGCUGUGGGAUGAACUGAGUUCACAUACCGUGUCAUGGCAUUAAAUAAUUUAGCUGAGUCCAGUAAAGCUUAUGAUUCACUGUGACAGUAGUUCUGACUUCAUCUUUUGGGGGUGCAGGUGAUGUUUGUACCUGCAGUGAGUCAGACAGGUCCAGUUCUGCACACCUAAUGGAAACCCAUCAUAUUGGACAGGGCUUGAAUAACCUGGUUAAAACUAUGAAGAUCUUUUCCAUAUCAAUUUAUUUCAGUAAAGAAACUGGACAACUUUGUGUCAUAGCAGUCAAAUCUACAAUCAGGAGCAAUAACACCAUGAGCAGCCUGCCUAAAAUUAUUUGAAGAGUAUGUUUUCAGUUGCUUGACCUGUAGUGUAAGCCAGUUUUGAUUUUAUGAAUUGAAUCUUUAUAUGACUGGGAUGCAGUCCUGUCACAUGGAUCUAUUGUUUAAAAAAACAAAUACACAAAUAGAGUAUUUUUUUAUAAAAUUAGCCUGAUGAUGAUAAUAGCUUUAUUGGCAUAUGUGGUUCCAUAAAUAAUUGUUAACAUCCAUGGAAUAUUCGCACAAAAGCUUCUUUUAUAGAGGAAAAGGUGUUUAUUUUAAGAACUGUUCACUGAAAGAUCUGAUACUGUCAGACAGAUUAAGUUAUUCAUAGAAAAUGAGUUUUCAUCUACAAGUUUUUAAUGUUUUGAACUUUUGCUUCAGCUUUGAAGUGUAAUACUGAUUUUUUUCUCAGAUACAUUUUAGGACAGAAAGCAUCUCAUAACAAUUAUCAAAAACUGUAUGGAUACCCAAGGCACGUCAGACAGUCACGCCCACAGCAGGGGGAGACAUCCGUACUUUCCAGCUUUUAAACAUCCUGCCAACCUCCAUAUUGAUUUGCAAGAGCCUUGUGGGGUGCUGUAGUCUUCCAGCCCAUUUUAGGCAAGGCUUACUCAUCACCCCCAACCAAUUACUGCCUUUCACCAUGAACGCAUUUAAUGAAACGAUUAGAGGCAAUUUUUCCUAUGGAUGGAUAUCCGAUUCCUGACGCAUGACGCCCACACACAUCUUCCCAUCAGCCUCACUCAAGGUGACACAGCUGUUGGAAAAGGUGAAGAGCGAGAGAGAUGAAAUCCCUUUCUGAAUGGUACAAUAAGAUCAGAGAAAGACUAUUUCCGGCUGGUUUUACCAAUCUGAAACUGUCGUUUUUCAUUAAAAGUCGUUUGAUUGAGACUGUGAUCCACAGUUCUGUUAGGAGUUCACUUUUCUGAUCUGGUCUUUGGAGACUGCUAAUUAACUUAGAAAGAGUUUAUCCCUGUUUCCUCAAAGGACCUCCUACACAUUCACAAAGUGACUUUAUUUUGAUCAGAUGGUGAGAAAACAUCACGUUAACGCUGGCUGUAUGAUACCAGAGGAUGCGUGAGAGGCAGCAGGGAAAAAAACAGCAAAAAAGGCAGACAAACAGGUCUAAUUGCUGCUGCUGUACUGUACACCCCAAGCAGAAGCACCCCCUGCAUUCUUAUCAUGGAUUGCUGUCAUUCAAGAAGUUAUCAUUUCCUCCCAUUGUGGCUGAGCUACACAUUCUCUUUGUUUUAUUUUAAACAUAAAACAUCCAGAGGAGAUGGCACCUACGCUGGAAUCCAUACAAAUUCUUCCUGUGAAGAAAUCCUGAACGAGGGUCAAAGGUUGAGAUGAUGGGAACCUACGCUUCCAAGACUUUGAGAAUCCAUGUACAAUUUGAGCUUUUUUCAAAUCUCAACAUGGAAUUUGGACUGAACGUGCAGAAGAAAAGAAAAAAAAGUAGUUUCCACAAACUGGCACAUGGCAAGAGAUACUAAAAGCACACAAGUUUAGUUUAGUAUAGUAUAGUUUCACAUUGAAAUGUGAGGCAUGAGUGCAUGAAUCUUUGUUUUUUUUAUUUUCAAAUGCUGUACAGGAAAGUAUUUUUGCAGUACCAUGUCAAUUGUAGAUGCAGAUAAUUUAGCAUGAAUUAGAGGUUAGUAAUCUAAUUUAAAGGGUUAGUUCACCCAAAAUGUUAUAUGAAAAAUCUUGUUCCAAUCCUGUUAGACUUUUGUUCAUUUUUGGAACACUAAUGAAGAUCCUUUUUAAUGAAAUCUGACAGCUAUACCUUAUUGGACCUUGAAAUGGUAGUUGUAUAUGGUAGUUGUCAACGGAGGGACAGAAAGCACAGAGAUUUAAUUAAAAAUACUCUUUGUUUGUGUUCCAAAGAUGAAUGAAAAUCUUAUGGAUUUGGAACGGUAUGAGGGUGAGUAACAGAUAACAGAAUUCACAUUUUUGGGUUAACUGUCCUUUUAAAUAAUAUUGUGUUCUUCUAUUGGUUAAAUGGUGUAAACGCCGGAACAUUUCACUUGACUAUUGACUGUAAGUCUAUAGCAAUUGUUAUUAAUGACAGCCCUGUCUUUGUAUUCAUUUUUUCCCCCAUGUAUUUGAAAAUUAUUUUGAAUCUUGACUGUUUCACAAUGAAGUUUAUCUUUGUGUCCUCGAUUUGGUGCAACACCAAUAUUGUACAAGUCAAGUACCUGCUCAUGUUUUCUUUUUUCUGCAUGUUGCUGUUUAAAACUAAAAAGUGUUCCACAAUACAAGCAUUUUCAGUGGUGCUUUACACAUUGUUAAAUUAAUUGAUGUAAUAAUAUUUUGGUCUUC